GAUGAACAGUAACCCGGACUGACAGCCGGUUACUUCAUCCCGAGUUUGAUCCACUUUCCAGACUCCAAAUUUGAUGAAAUUUUUACCUAACAUUUUACACUCAUAGAAAAUUCCAAAAAGGUAACAUGCAUCACCAUCGGAGGCCGAUUGACCCCCGAAAUAAUUUGCCGAAGUUGGGACUUCGACACAGUUUUUUCGUAGGCCGAUUCUUCCUCUUUUAACCACCUCUACAAUCCUUAUCCGACCCCUCUAGACUACAUCCACCCUUUGUAUAGCCUAAAAUAAUCAAAAGACUAGAUAGAGAUGGAUAUUUACCCUUUUUCUUUUUGGAAAUCGAGGUCCUUGCGUAGAGGAGAAGGAGAUCUACACUUUUUCCUUCAGCUGGCAGCGCAACCGGAAUUUCUUUCCUCCUCGAAUCCCCUUCCUCUUCUUCUUCCUUCUUCUUCUUCUUCUCUUUUUCUUUCUUUCUUUCCUCUCUGUUUCACGCCU
This 489-nucleotide long non-coding RNA is filed under the name Phoenix dactylifera (date palm). RNAcentral's name for it is "long non-coding RNA (PDAC_LNC018896)". Lineage: Eukaryota; Viridiplantae; Streptophyta; Magnoliopsida; Arecales; Arecaceae. The record is from RNAcentral.